CAAUAGCGUAUAUUAAAGCUGUUGCGGUUAAAAAGCUCGUAGUUGGAUUUCUGUCAAGGACAACUGGUCCGCCCUCCGGGUGAGCACAUAGUUUGGUCUUGGCAUCUUGUUCAAAACUGUUACUGCGCUUGGUUGUGUGGUGCAGUUUUGGGCACUUUCACUUUGAGGAAAUUGGAGUGUUUCAAGCAGGCACAUGCCUUUGGACACAGUAGCAUGGAAUAAUUAGAUUGGGCUUUUGCUCCAACUUGUCGGUUCCUGGAGCUGAGGUGAGAAUCAAUGGGGAUGGUUGGGGGCAUCUGAAUUUAGCCGUCAGAGGUGAAAUUCUUGGAUCUGCUAAAGACGGACAACUGCGAAAGCGUUUGCCCAGGAUGUUUUCAUUGA
RNAcentral lists this ribosomal RNA (381 nucleotides) under uncultured eukaryote. RNAcentral's name for it is "partial 18S ribosomal RNA". It matches the Rfam family "Eukaryotic small subunit ribosomal RNA", at positions 592 to 976 of the family's 1831-position model. The record is from RNAcentral.